RNAcentral lists this small RNA (61 nucleotides) under Thalassionema frauenfeldii. RNAcentral describes it as "partial transfer-messenger RNA". The record is from RNAcentral. Lineage: Eukaryota; Bacillariophyta; Fragilariophyceae; Thalassionematales; Thalassionemataceae.
AAACAAACAAUUAAAUGCAAACAAUGAAACUUUCUCUCGCAUUGGCAAUUGUAAUCAGUAC